AUGCAAGUCGAGCGAACAGACGAGGAGCUUGCUCCUUUGACGUUAGCGGCGGACGGGUGAGUAACACGUGGGUAACCUACCUAUAAGACUGGGAUAACUUCGGGAAACCGGAGCUAAUACCGGAUAAUAUUUCGAACCGCAUGGUUCGAUAGUGAAAGAUGGCUUUGCUAUCACUUAUAGAUGGACCUGCGCCGUAUUAGCUAGUUGGUAAGGUAACGGCUUACCAAGGCAACGAUACGUAGCCGACCUGAGAGGGUGAUCGGCCACACUGGAACUGAGACACGGUCCAGACUCCUACGGGAGGCAGCAGUAGGGAAUCUUCCGCAAUGGGCGAAAGCCUGACGGAGCAACGCCGCGUGAGUGAUGAAGGUCUUCGGAUCGUAAAACUCUGUUAUUAGGGAAGAACAAACGUGUAAGUAACUGUGCACGUCUUGACGGUACCUAAUCAGAA
This 451-nucleotide ribosomal RNA is filed under the name Staphylococcus hominis subsp. hominis. RNAcentral's name for it is "bacterial SSU rRNA". It matches the Rfam family "Bacterial small subunit ribosomal RNA", at positions 55 to 488 of the family's 1533-position model. Lineage: Bacteria; Bacillati; Bacillota; Bacilli; Caryophanales; Staphylococcaceae. The record is from RNAcentral.